RNAcentral lists this ribosomal RNA (522 nucleotides) under uncultured microorganism. Its description in RNAcentral is "bacterial SSU rRNA". It matches the Rfam family "Bacterial small subunit ribosomal RNA", at positions 9 to 517 of the family's 1533-position model. The record is from RNAcentral.
GAGUUUGAUCUUGGCUCAGGAUGAACGCUGGCGGCGUGCCUAAUACAUGCAAGUCGAGCGAACAGACGAGGAGCUUGCUCCUCUGACGUUAGCGGCGGACGGGUGAGUAACACGUGGAUAACCUACCUAUAAGACUGGGAUAACUUCGGGAAACCGGAGCUAAUACCGAAUAAUAUAUUGAACCGCAUGGUUCAAUAGUGAAAAACGGUUUUGCUGUCACUUAUAGAUGGAUCCGCGCCGCAUUAGCUAGUUGGUAGGGUAACGGCUUACCAAGGCGACGAUGCGUAGCCGACCUGAGAGGGUGAUCGGCCACACUGGAACUGAGACACGGUCCAGACUCCUACGGGAGGCAGCAGUAGGGAAUCUUCCGCAAUGGGGCGAAAGCCUGACGGAGCAACGCCGCGUGAGUGAUGAAGGUCUUCGGAUCGUAAAAACUCUGUUAUUAGGGAAGAACAAAUGUGUAAGUAACUAUAGCACGUCUUGACGGUACCUAAUCAGAAAGCCAACGGCUAACUACAGCCG